CAGUAGCCGCGGUAAUACGUAGGUGGCAAGCGUUGUCCGGAAUUAUUGGGCGUAGAGGGCUCGCAGGCGGUUUCUUAAGUCUGAUGUGAGAACCCCCGGCUCAACCGGGGAGGGUCAUUGGAAACUGGGAAACUUGAGUGCAGAAGAGGAGAGUGGAAUUCCACGUGUAGCGGUGAAAUGCGUAGAGAUGUGGAGGAACACCAGUGGCGAAGGCGACUCUCUGGUCUGUAACUGACGCUGAGGAGCGAAAGCGUGGGGAGCGAACAGGAUUAGAUACCCGUGUAGUCCCUGUCUCUUAUAC
RNAcentral lists this ribosomal RNA (301 nucleotides) under uncultured bacterium. Its description in RNAcentral is "partial 16S ribosomal RNA". It matches the Rfam family "Bacterial small subunit ribosomal RNA", at positions 509 to 807 of the family's 1533-position model. The record is from RNAcentral.